AGUGAACGCUGGCGGUAGGCCUAACACAUGCAAGUCGAACGGCAGCACAGUAAGAGUUUGCUCUUACGGGUGGCGAGUGGCGGACGGGUGAGGAAUACAUCGGAAUCUACUCUUUCGUGGGGGUUAACGAAGCGAAACUUACGAUAAUACAGCAUACGACCUACGGGUGAAAGGAGUGGAACUUCGCGGCUUGUGCGGAUGAAUGAGCCGAUGUGGGAUUUGCUGGUUGGGGGGGUAAAGGCCAAGCAAGGCGACGAUCGGUAGCCGGACGGGGAGGCGGGUCAGCCACACUGGAACUGGAACACGGUCAAGACUCCUAAGGGAGGCAGCAGUGGGGAACAUGGGGCAAUGGGGGGAAGCAUGGUCCAGCCAUCCCACGUGGGUGGAGGAGGCGUUCGGGUUGGAAAGCCCGUUUGUUGGUAGAGAAAAGCUGCAGCUUGAUACCCAGCUGUACUGACGGUACCCAAAGAAUAAGCACCGGCUAACUACGUG
This 492-nucleotide ribosomal RNA is filed under the name uncultured bacterium. Its description in RNAcentral is "partial 16S ribosomal RNA". It matches the Rfam family "Bacterial small subunit ribosomal RNA", at positions 30 to 507 of the family's 1533-position model. The record is from RNAcentral.